AUUACAUAACGAAAAUGUCUUACAAAAUAACUGAUAGUAAAUAAAUCGAACUAAGAUAAUUAUUCCUCGGCGCCAACAACUAAUUGUGAGACGACACCUAGACCUCGUCAAACUCGUCAUAGUAGUCCUCCUUCGGUGGUACCUGCUAUUCACCUAGGGUUUAUUGCAAGGGUGAGCUCACAAAUGUUCAUCGCUCAGCAAGUGUGGGGAAUAAUGUGCAUGAGCUCACUUACGGUGGAGGCUCACAUGUAGAGUAAGGUUGAUCAACAAAUAAUGGUCAAGAUUGAGCAUUGCUUUUAAUAAGUUGGUCAAAGUUUUGUUAGCAGUUACUAAGUAUAAGUGUAUAUCAUCCCAAUAAAAUAAGAGAUCACAAUUAUAACAAAUCUCACAAUGCAAUGUAAAGAUAGAUUAAGUUUAAUUCUAUAAGUUACUCAUGUGAGUGUCUGAGCCGCUCAUGACCGUGAGCACGACUAUAGGUGUACAUUUUGACUGGGCCUGAUGGGCUGGCCCUAAGCACGAAAAAAGCACGACCCAGGCAUGGCACGACCCGAAAUAUUUUAGUGCCAGACCGGCACAUCCCAAUAUUUCGGGCCAGGUUUGGGCCAAGGUCACGGCCCAUGGGCAGGCACGAGCACGGCCCGAUUAAUGCAGGCACGAAAUGGAUAUAGAGGCACGAAAAGGCACAUAUAUCCAUUAAAACUGCACUUCAUUCCACAAUUUCAUAUACUUGAUAAAGAACACACAGGUAGAGAUGAUACUAGUUAGACGUUUUUGUAGCUUUGAAUUAGUGUAUGUGAUGCAAUUUUACUUUUGUUAUGAAUAUUAGAUAAUGAACUGAACUUACGAACUCUGUAUAGAGCUGAUUAUACUCUUUUUCCUUCUAACAAAAUGAUUUUUUAACGAGGUAGUCAUUGCAUAACUCUUGUAACUUAAUACAAAUAUUAAGUUUGCUUUUGGACAGAUUUAUUUGUCUUAUCUUUUAUUUGUUUUAUUAAAUUUGUUUUGAAUUUAGGGCUCUGAUGUGAAUUUCGGGCCAUGAUGUGAUUUUUUGGGCUAAAAAUUGAAUUUCGAGCUUUUUAUAAUUUCGAGCCACCCAAAAUGAGCCCGGCACGUUUAAGCAAUUACGUGUCAGGCCGUGGGCCGAGGGCUAGGCCUAUGGGCUGGCCUGUCACGACCUGAAAUUCAAAAGGGUCAAGCCGAAAUUUAAACAGGUUGGGCCUUUUUGGGCUGAGGCCGGGCCGGGCGUCCCGAAUGUACACCUAUAAGCACAACUGAUAUACCAGUUUACUCCCUGCAGAGGUUGCACAUCUUUACCCACAAGCUAUGUUACCCAUUUGCCAAGGAGCCUAGAAUUCCCAUUCAUCUCUACCGAGCAGACGAGGCAGGGUAGCACUACAAGGCCUUUCCAAAGUCCCACUAGUUCGAGAAAACCCGUUACAGAUUCAAGAAGGAAGCAUAGGAGUCCCUCGUCUGAAAAGCUUUACAGACAGUCUGACUUGAUGACCUCCCUAUACUCUACAGCAACACGCUCCCCACUUGCCCUUUUCGGGUAAUGUAGUCUCUCAAUAGCUUUCCUAAUUACUUGACCAAGGACGUCCCAUUCCACCCUUGUGGUAGCACUGUUUUCCUAGGUGGUUCUCCAUAUUCCAAUUAACACAAUAGCCUUAUCAUGAACAAUAAAUAACCCAGCAGUAAUAAUAAAAGCAUGAUCAUGUAUUCAUGUGUCAUAUAGUAUUACUUCCCGAAAACCAGGUAGAGCAUAGCCAAACCACCCAAUAAUUCAUUUGCAUGCAAUGUGUGGGGUAAACAAAACUAGGACAACCUAUUAGGUCCCAUCAAAUUGACAUGAGCAUGUUACAGUGAUUGACAGGAACAUUAUUAGGUAAAGAAGAGUGGUCAAGGGCACAACUUGCCUUUAGCGAGCUCCUGCUCAGAGUCUUCAACCUAUUGUGCUCCGAGCACCUCGUCACUUGCUCGUCUACUCACAACAAUACAAACAAACAUUGCAUAGGAGAAAUUAACAUCACACCAAACAUGAGAACAAUCAACACAAUAAUAUUCUACGCGUCGUUACGAGAUCGUAGAUUCGAGAACUACUAAAUUCGGAGUUACAGUUAAAAAGAUAUUCUAUGUAAUUAAACUAUGUUUGAUUAAUAUAAAUCAUGCAAACAAAGGUAUUCUAAAGGAAUGAGUUAACUUAAUCUUAAUCUAGAUUAUAACUUGAUUAAAAUAGUCAAAUUAUAAUUAAAGAAUCCACAUAUUAAUUUAACUAUAUUAGAAAGGCCAAUCCAAUAGUCAUAGAUUAAACAAAUUAGCUGUCUAUUUUUGAAACCAUGUUACAUGAUCAAAUAAGGUUAUUAAAGUGUAGACAACUUUAUUACAAAGCUAACGCAACUUGAAUGUAUCCAAACGGAGCUAAAUUGAGUAAGUUAUGGAGUUUACAAGUUUUUAGGUAUUCUAUUAUUGAUUCUAUACCUUAAAAUAAAUCCCAGGGGUGCUUUUGCAAAGACCCGAUUUAAUUCUAUUUAUUUUAACUCCUAUAUGAAUGGCGGGUUCUAUUCUCAAAUAAUAUAGGGUCUUUUCCAAUUUAGCGCAGUCGAAGGGGUAUCGAUGGAUCUCGGUUGUCCGAUCAAAAUUUGACCGUCUGGAUUAGAUCCCCAUUAUAACGAACCAGUACGCGAAGGACAUCGUAAGAUUAAAUAUCUAUGGUCACAACACGCAGAUGCCCCAGAGCCACACAGACUAAAUCAACGGCCCGGAUCAGAUUGUUUAAAAGUCGAACCAGUAUUCCACUCUCGCCCAUCGGAUCCACGAUCUGUGGCCCAUAUUUUAAAAUUGCCCGAUCUUAUGUCGCCCCUCCAUCAUGGAUCCUACGGCCACGGUCCCCCCUGGACCAAACGGUACGCUAGCCCAAAUCCUGUGCGCUCAUCGCACGAUCGACAACUGGCCUGAACUCGACUUCCCCCGUGCAACUCUAGCCGGCGGUGCACACUUACACGACGGCUGCCAUGGCUGGAGUCCCGGUUAUCGACGUGUCGUGAUCUAACCUCAGGUUUGAAAGUCUCUACAGGAGGCGGGAAUGACAACAAGUUUUCGGGGAGGGUUCUCAGUUUCUCACCGGCGAUGGAGCGUUGUUAGAGUUGGUCCACGAUGCGAUGCGGCGCUUCAACUCUGUUGAGAAAUUUCGGGGGCGACCUUCAACUCCGCCCGAUGAAUCCGCGGUCAACUUCAACGUCGUACGGGAAAGCCCAUGGUUCGUCCCAGCGUGCUCGUCGAUGAAGAAACCAAACUCUCCUCCCUCGGUGGAACUCUCUCUCUCUCUUUCUCGGUCUCCGGUGAGAGGCCCUGGUACGGUGACUUGUGGAUCCUCGACAGCUAAGGCCCUGUUCGUUUUGUGUCAAUCCAUAGGGAUUGAGGGGGAUUAAAUCCCCUACAAGUCAAAAUCCU
RNAcentral lists this long non-coding RNA (3447 nucleotides) under Zea mays. RNAcentral describes it as "long non-coding RNA (ZMAY_LNC003085)". The record is from RNAcentral. Lineage: Eukaryota; Viridiplantae; Streptophyta; Magnoliopsida; Poales; Poaceae.